Molecule: ribosomal RNA, 262 nt
Filed under: uncultured bacterium
Lineage: Bacteria
Description: partial 16S ribosomal RNA
Rfam family: Bacterial small subunit ribosomal RNA
Source: RNAcentral
UGGCAGGUACAGAGGGAUGCUACCGGGCGACCGGAUGCGGAUCUCGAAAGCCUGUCCCAGUUCGGACUGGAGUCUGCAACCCGACUCCACGAAGUUGGAUUCGCUAGUAAUCGCGCAUCAGCCAUGGCGCGGUGAAUACGUUCCCGGGGCCUUGUACACACCGCCCGUCAAGCCAUGGGAGCCGGGGGCGCCUGAAGUCCGGGACCGCGAGGACCGGCCUAGGGCGAAACUGGUAACUGGGGCUAAGUCGUAACAAGGUAGC